GAUCGGGAGAGACCGCGCAGGCGCGGCGCCGAAGGGGAAAGCAAAAGCUCUCAGGCAAAAGGACCGGUU
RNAcentral lists this non-coding RNA (69 nucleotides) under human gut metagenome. RNAcentral's name for it is "Glycine riboswitch". It matches the Rfam family "Glycine riboswitch aptamer", at positions 9 to 86 of the family's 94-position model. From Rfam's summary of the family: This family represents the bacterial glycine riboswitch. The record is from RNAcentral.